Molecule: RNA transcript, 311 nt
Organism: Ochotona princeps (American pika)
Lineage: Eukaryota; Metazoa; Chordata; Mammalia; Lagomorpha; Ochotonidae
Exons: 3
Source: RefSeq, a predicted model, not a curated record
CCCCGGCCCUGCCUCCUCCCGGGCCUGCCGCAGCGCGCCGCAGUGCGCCCGGACGCCGGGGAGGAAGGAAGCGGGCGGCGGCGUCACGUGCCCUUGGCGGUCGCCGGACAGCUCCAGAGCUGAGGAGACCUUGCAGAACACGAGGGGGGCACGGACCCCCGCCCCCGCCGGCUGUCACAUCCGCCAGCAAGUUGAGCAAGAGUGUUGUGAGCACCGGGGCAGAGACUGUCCAUCGGGCUGCAGGAGGUGGUCAGUCCUGUGCUGGCCAGCAGAGAAGGAACAGGGUGAAUGGAGGGCGCCAGGAAAGCAAG